This 716-nucleotide long non-coding RNA is filed under the name Homo sapiens (human). RNAcentral's name for it is "HSALNT0207178". Lineage: Eukaryota; Metazoa; Chordata; Mammalia; Primates; Hominidae. The record is from RNAcentral.
AUUUCCCUUGUGCUAUCCAGGAAGGGCUAAUGAUUGGAAGGAAAACGUCAGCCCUUCUCAAGCAGCAAAAUAACAGCACCUUCUGUUUCCCCUGAAUCCACAUGAGUGUGGUGCUGUGAAAGAGGUCGCUGGCUGGUGUUGAGGGUGCCUCCGUGCCAGGGAGCACUCAAAGCUACAGACAUUCACCUGCGAAUGGUCAUGGACCUGACCGGCUGUUUUCUCUGCAUUUCUCCCCUGGCUAAAGAUGUGUUGCUGGGUAAAGUGAUUCUCAGACUUGACCUCCUGCUGCCCUGCUCCCACCCUGGAAUGGAGCAGGUGCCAGGUGGACAUGGCUGCAGGUGCUGUGGGAGGUGAGUCGUGCAGCCACAGGGGAAAACGUUUCAGGAUCCAGUGUCCGUCCUUCAAAGUUGCUUCUAACAAGGAAACCGCUGCCUAAUCACCGGCACCUGUCAAAUUGGAAUCUCAGUCACAGCCAUCAGCCUGUAAGCUGGAUCUGGGAGGCUUUGUUUCUGGAGACUUCUGCUUUCUUUGGAAGGCAGGCUCAAACCUGAUCCUCUAUACAACGGUCCCGAGUUAAAUCUGGCCAGUCUGAAAAGCCAGCCAUGCUGGCGAGUGCAUGAAAAUCCUGCUUCAAAGGCAGAGAGCCGGGCUCCACGCGACAUUCCGCACCUUCCUCAGGGUGGCUUCUCCUUCUCCCUGGCCUCGUACCCUAGAAC